Molecule: non-coding RNA, 783 nt
Filed under: Dryomyza anilis
Lineage: Eukaryota; Metazoa; Arthropoda; Insecta; Diptera; Dryomyzidae
Source: RNAcentral
UUAAAGCUUUAUUUUGGCUUUGUAAUUCGUUAUUAAUUUGUUUUAUAUGUAAAUUUUUGUGAGAGAUGCUAUUUAUUUAAAUAAUAAAUAACAUAAAUAAGUCGCAGUAAUUAAUAUUAUUGAUUAAGGAAACUUAGAAAUAGAAAUAUUAGUUAACAUUGGCUAAUUUCGUGCCAGCAGCCGCGGUUACACGAAUGAUGUAAAUGAAUUUCAUCAGUAAAAGUUAAAUAGUUAUUUUAAAAUAAAAAUAAAUUUAUUAGGUGAAAUUUUAAAUUUAUAAAUUUUUAUAUAGUAUUUAUUGAAGCUUAAAAAUUUUAGUAAUAAACUAGGAUUAGAUACCCUAUUAUUUAAAAUGUAAACUUAUUGCUAGAGUAGUAGUAGUUAUGUUCUUGAAACUUAAAAAAUUUGGCGGUAUUUUAGUCUAUUCAGAGGAACCUGUUCUGUAAUCGAUAUUCCACGAUGGACCUUUCUUGAGCUUGUAUUUCAGUUUAUAUACCGUCGUUAUCAGAAUAUUUUAUAAGAAAAAUAAUUUUCUAUAAUUUUUAUAAAAAUUUAUAUCAGAUCAAGGUGUAGCUUAUGCUUAAGUAGAAAUGGGUUACAAUAAAGUUAUUUAUAUGGAUACAAAUAUGAAAAAUUUGUUCAAAGUGGAUUUGAUAGUAAAAUUAUAAAGAUUAAUAAUUUGAUUUUAGCUCUAAAAUAUGUACACAUCGCCCGUCGCUCUUAUUACUAAGGUAAGAUAAGUCGUAACAUAGUAGAUGUACCGGAAGGUGUAUCUAGAAUGAC